Molecule: ribosomal RNA, 482 nt
Filed under: uncultured bacterium
Lineage: Bacteria
Description: partial 16S ribosomal RNA
Rfam family: Bacterial small subunit ribosomal RNA
Source: RNAcentral
AUUGAACGCUGGCGGCAUGCCUAACACAUGCAAGUCGAACGGUAACAGGUUUCCGGAUGCUGAUGAGUGGCGGACGGGGGAGUAAUACACCGGAACGUGUCCGAUCGUGGGGGAUAACGAAGCGUAAGCUAUGCUAAUAUCCCAUACGAUCUAAGGAUGAGAGCAGGGGACAGCAAGGGCUCUCGCGAACGGAGCGGACGAUGGUGGCUUAGGUAGUUGGUGGGAUAAAGGCCUACCAAGCCGACGAUCUGUAGCUGGUCUGAGAGGACGAUCAGCCACACUGGAACUGAGACACGGCCCAGACUCCUACGGGAGGCAGCAGUGGGGAAUUUUGGACAAUGGGCGAAAGCCUGAUCCAGCCAUGCCGCGUGCGGGAUGAAGGCCUUCGGGUUGUAAACUGCUUUUGUACGGAACGAAAAGACUCUGGUUAAUACCUGGCGUCCAUGACGGUACCGUAAGAAUAAGCACCGGCUAACUACGUG